Molecule: long non-coding RNA, 806 nt
Filed under: Physcomitrium patens
Lineage: Eukaryota; Viridiplantae; Streptophyta; Bryopsida; Funariales; Funariaceae
Description: long non-coding RNA (PPAT_LNC011551)
Source: RNAcentral
UCCAUUCAAAAAAUGACAACGUAAUUGCUAUCUCCUCCAGCAAGUGCACGGAACCAGUGGAGCUAUGUCGCUCCCUAAAGGAUUCAUAGGCCCGUCCUCUCAUUGUAAAUUCGUCCAUAGAGAUUUUGUGAGAUAAAAAGAUUAACAGCAUCCUUGAGUAACUGCAGAACCGAGUAUGAUCCCUUCAACAUCUAUAUGAAGAUCCGCUACAAUAAAUGCCGAUGAAUUGCACGAGUAAUGAAACCAAAGCUUCAAGUUCUCGUAAACUUGGCAAGUUGAAACAAUGAGGUCUCAUGUAGCCUCCUUGCAUCAGUAACGAACUGAAUCAUCGUAGCAUUGUGCAAAUGCCUCGACUUCUAGCUCCGUCGUAGACAACUCCUACUUCCAUCAUCUGAUUCAAAGCAACAUCAAUCGAAAUAACCUAUGAUGGAAUACCUGCAGUCUGUUCAUGAAAUCGAAGCUCAAUCCAGCAUGCUAAAUUGAGACCUCGUGGUUAUCACUCAAAUGUCAAGACAAUUGAGUUUCAACAUAGGACUAACACUUAGAGUGCUCCGAAGUCCAUCAAACAUUGCCCACCUGCAGACAACCCAGUUGUAACUCUGGCGAGAUGGGUAAACCCCAAACCUACAACGUCAUUGACAACCCUUAGCUACUACCAAAGGUGCUUUCCGUUUUAACAAAAAUCAAAACAUUCUGCCGGAACUGGCCACGGAAAUCAGCAACCUCCAAAUUUGAGACCUCAUAACACCCAACUAUUCUCUUCGAAUCCUCAGUGUUCCAAAAACCGAGAGAUUUUGGUCGCAACU